RNAcentral lists this ribosomal RNA (200 nucleotides) under uncultured bacterium. Its description in RNAcentral is "partial 16S ribosomal RNA". It matches the Rfam family "Bacterial small subunit ribosomal RNA", at positions 8 to 220 of the family's 1533-position model. The record is from RNAcentral.
AGAGUUUGAUCAUGGCUCAGAAUCAACGCUGGCGGCGUGCCUAACACAUGCAAGUCGCACGAGAAAGUGGGGGCAACUCCAUGAGUAAAGUGGCGCACGGGUGAGUAACACGUGACUAACCUACCUCCGAGUGGGGAAUAACAUCGGGAAACCGAUGCUAAUACCGCAUAACAUCUACGGAUCAAAGCAGCAAUGCGCUU